GUUAACCCUUUAAGCUUCAGUCAAUUCCAGCCGUUUUCAGUACAAAAAAAUCGCUAAUAUUCUAUUUUUAAAUAAAAAAAAUUACGAAAAAUACGGGGAAUAUUGGACGCGCAUCGGGAGGUGCAUUUCCUUGAAAACGACCGAUUCGGGGAUUUUAUACGACUUCAGGACAUGUUUUGGACAAAAUAGUUUACUGGCUUGUGUCAUCUGAUGUAAAAGGCUGGAUUAUGGCCGUUUUUUGUGGAAUCUUUUUUUUUGUGUGUAAUAAUAAACCCGGAAAUGUGAGUCGCGCUGUGUGCGUUGAAGCCGUGUAUAGAGAACGGAUGGAUGAAUAUUUGUUUUUGUCGGACAAAUGUGUUUUUCUCACCCGCUGUGGUAAUCGCAUCUGAAAGUGGUUUAUACCGGCGGAUUCAUGAGAAUCUAAGCUUUCCAUCGGCGUAUAGUGUUUGUAUAAUCGUGUUUGCAGCCGUCGGACAUUCUUGAAAUUCCUACGCAAAUUAGUAGGUGUACCACCGGCGGUACACUGAAGCUUAAAGCUGCUGUCCGGAGUUUGAAUCUCAGCGUCUCCCAAAACACUGUUGGUCCCUCCCUCUGAUUUCGCCCCUUUAUUUGUGCACGCGCGCAGUACAUGAGAGAAGUGCCCGGAGUGCUGCAGCAUCUCGCCUGUUUUGCUGUUUUCCCCUCUUCUGCAUUUAGUACAUGUAGUAAAUAAUAAAGGAAUUACGUUAGAAUGCUGUAUUGAGUCUAACUUGUCCUAAUACCAAAAUAACAUGAAUCUGCUAGGACGAACGAGUAAAGUUUCAAUAUGUGAUUACACUCGUGUAUCCCUCUCGAUGAUGUUGUUUAUCAAACUUAGUGCAUUUACGCGUGUAUAAGUGUUACAUUGUUUAUUUAUUUCUAUCUGGAGUUCAGAAUUGCAUGACUCCUCUGACGAAGAGUAUGUCCCAGACGCCCCAACAUCUUCCUCCAGAGGUCGGGCAUCUAAACGAAGCCGUCAGGCGGGCUAUGGAGGCCGUGGUCGGGGAGCGACGCGAGCACCCCGAGCCAAAAAACGUCCUGCAGUCUCUUGGCCUGACAAGCCGUGGGAUUGGUAACUUUUCUGGAAGUUGCUGAUCCCUGAUGCUCUCUCCUCCAUAAGCAAAACAAAUGUGCACGCGGUUGCGUAGUGCGUAGCUCGCCCACCUCUGCAUGGGCUUGCUUGCUGUGCGCGUAACCGUUGAUUGACAGCAUGACAAAGCUGAAGCUCGAACUUGAUUGGUCGGCAGCAACCGGCGCUUUUUAGAAUAACAUGGGGGUCUAUGAGAGGAAGGCGGAGCUCAGGAAUAAAUUUUCAUAUCGUGUUAUACUAACUUUAUAUUAUAGUAUCGAACUAGACUAACACAUUUAAGCUUUGUUAAAAAAUGAUACAUAAAUUGAAAACAAACGGAAACUCCGGACAGCAGCUUUA
This is a long non-coding RNA of Acanthochromis polyacanthus (spiny chromis), 1447 nucleotides long. RefSeq lists it as uncharacterized. The record is from RefSeq and is a predicted model, not a curated record. The transcript has 3 exons. Lineage: Eukaryota; Metazoa; Chordata; Actinopteri; Pomacentridae.